AUCCAUAUGGUCCCACAUUCCCCUCCCAAAGAGAUAAGAACAAAAAAAAAGAAGAGGAAAUAUUCAGUAAACCAUAACUUUUGAAUUUAAUAUUUUUUUUCUAGCCCAUGAAAUGAAAAAGGAAUUAUGGUAAUAUUUUCUCCUCAGUCUUGCUUCUCAAGCACAAGUGUUGGAGUCUUACUAUAUACUUAUUCCUACGGGAGAAUUUUUCAAACAGUACCUGAACUAAAGGUCACUGUUAAUUAACGUUCCUAACUUUACACUAAUUACACUUGGUACCUAGACUAUAAAUCUCGACCCACUUUUGGUACAUACCGUCAAUAACUCCGUUAACCUCAUGUCAUUAUUUAAUUUUGUAAAGGGUAGUUUGGUAUUUUCACACACACACACACACACUCUCUCUCUCUCUCUCGGGGUCAUGAUCAAAUCUCAGCUCUAAUCUCAUUUCCCUGCUUUCUGCAACCUCAGCUUUGCCUUCACCUACUGCCCAGAAGCCCAAAUAAACCGUAUGUGUCAUUCCUCCAAGCCAAGUCGCUGUCAGCCGCCCUAGCCUCUCCGGGCCGAGCCUUGCGUCACAACCACACUCCAGCCUCCAACCGGGCCGACCCAAUUUUUCUCUCUCUUCUUCCUUCAUUCCUCUUCUUCUCUCUCUCUCUCUCUCUCUCAAAGUUCUGAUCUUCGAUCCAUGGUUUCUUGACCCAGAAAGCUGAAUUGAUAGCUAGGCUGAAAUUGGAGAUAAACAAAUGAAGAAAAGGUUGAGUCUUUGAAUCUCCAAAUUGAUAGCUUGGCCCCUGUGCACAAAACAUGAACUCACCCGUCUUUGUCACGCUGCCGCACCUCGAGAAACAGAGUCGCUCUUCGUCUUUGUCACUGGCAUUGACCACCUUCCCGAUGAUAGGAGCACAAAGUGUGACGUUUUUAAUAUGAGUUCAUUAUGUGCACAAUUGGAAGAAGAAAUUAGUGCAAUUUAAAGGAGAUGAAUAAGGGAUGUAUCUGGUCACUAUUCAAGGAAUAUACAAUGAGUCAUUAAGGGGAAAAGAGAUCAGAAAAUUCAAGACUCUUUCAUGAGAAAAUCAAGGGAAUUUGGAGGAGAAAUCACCUCUAUAUGAUUGGCCAUGAUUGCAUCAUAAGAGAUGAGAAUUCCACUAUAAAUAGCAGCCAUUCUCUACUCCAAAAUCAUCACUUCUUCAUGCAAAAUUCAGUUCAUUAGCUUAGCUCUCUUCUCUCCAAAACCCUCUCCAAAUAUUCAAAAAAAGCCUCUUGGCAUGAAGAGCUUUAGGACUUCUCCAAGGCUGUUCGUGUUCUUGAAGGUCAAGCCCUGUGUUCUCUUGACGUUCUCCAAGCUUCCUUGAAGAUCAAAAAGUGUAAUCCAUGGCCCUUAUUUCUGUUUUCGUACUCUUUAGUAUUGAAUUUCAGAUUUCGUUUAUGAACUUUGUUAUUGGAGUUGGAUUUUUGUUAAGAAUGAGUUUAUGUUAGUAAUUUUCAAAUUCAUUUCUUUA
Long non-coding RNA from Rosa rugosa (rugosa rose), 1499 nucleotides. RefSeq lists it as uncharacterized. NCBI's taxonomy places the organism in Eukaryota, Viridiplantae, Streptophyta, Magnoliopsida, Rosales, Rosaceae. The transcript is spliced from 2 exons. The record is from RefSeq and is a predicted model, not a curated record.